AGCCUCCCAAAGUGCUAAGCCGCCGCGCUUGGCCACGAUGAUUAGGUUUUUAUGCACGUGUGGGAGAUGCGCCUCCCUUAAACCUUGUUGCGACCUUGGCACAUUACCUGUCUGAUA
Small nucleolar RNA from Gorilla gorilla gorilla (western lowland gorilla), 117 nucleotides. It matches the Rfam family "Small nucleolar RNA U13". Lineage: Eukaryota; Metazoa; Chordata; Mammalia; Primates; Hominidae. The record is from Rfam.